Molecule: long non-coding RNA, 251 nt
Filed under: Homo sapiens (human)
Lineage: Eukaryota; Metazoa; Chordata; Mammalia; Primates; Hominidae
Description: HSALNT0342321
Source: RNAcentral
CCCCCCGCAAGGAAACUCACCUUCCAAAGCUGCGGCCAACGAAGCCCAGCAGAGCAGCACCCGGAGCUCCAUGGCGCCGCCUCACUCGGGAUUAGACAAGUCAGGGGUAGAAACAGCCACGGGGCCUCACCAGCAUCCAGGUGGCUAAGCGCACAGCCUAACUUGUGGUGCACAGAGGACCCUACAGGAUCACGCAGGAAGCACAGCCGAUGCAGGUUUCAGGAGGCUGAGACAGGAGGAUUGCUUGACCC